Molecule: long non-coding RNA, 203 nt
Filed under: Elaeis guineensis (African oil palm)
Lineage: Eukaryota; Viridiplantae; Streptophyta; Magnoliopsida; Arecales; Arecaceae
Description: long non-coding RNA (EGUI_LNC081101)
Source: RNAcentral
UCAUUCUAAUAGUAAACAACUGUUUGGAGGGUGUCUAUUAAUUGGGGAUAUCACUGCUGUGUAUAUUAGGCACAAGCUUUGAAGCAUCCUAACAAAAUUUUUAAUCAGUUUAUAGUGUAUAAGGAGAUUCUGCACUAUAAUGAAUUUUUGGUGAGUGAAUUAGACAAACUUUAAGAGAAAAAAUAGGAGUAUAUACAUUCGUG